GAUGAUUGUGAGGGCUCGGGCUGCCUGCAGGUCGGAGCUGAGGGCUAGCAUGGAGUCGUAGACCUUACACUGCAUUUGGCCCGUGCUCUGCACCAUACAGGUCAUCCAGAUGCCCUCCCACAUGGUCUGAGCUGUGAUGAUGUUGACCCCGAUGAAAGCAGACACCCUCCACAUGGGCAUGGCGCAGGACACGAUGCUUAAUAUCCAACCCAGGACAGCCAGGAUCACUCCCAAGAUCUCUAGUCCCAACACAGACAUUUUGUUGUUUUACCUUCCUUUUCCGACAACUGUGAUCACCUUGGUGUUGUUUGUGGCACGUUGAAGACAGACCCGUCCACAGAACUAACCAGUCAAACUCCUCGUCCGUCAAAGCAGACACGUCCUCCAGGCGAACGGAAGAACGACAGUCUAUAGCCCUCCAACCCCCAAGGACUGACGUCACCUAGCAAGCUCUACUCGACACCUCCCAUCUAUCUCUGAAUACCAUCCAGUCCCAUCCUUCAGCUCUACUCGACACCUCCCAUCUAUCUCUGAAUUACCAACCAGUCCCAUCCUUCAGCUCUACUCGACACCUCCCAUCUAUCUCUGAAUACCAUCCAGUCCCAUCCUUCAGCUCUACUCGACACCUCCCAUCUAUCUCUGAAUACCAACCAGUCUCAUCCUUCAGCUCUACUCGACUAUGACUUUUUUUUAAACCACCCAGCAGUGCUAUUUGCAGAGUUUGAUCCAUGUAAAUGUUGCAAUUCUUCAGCCAUUCCUGAACCUGCGACCAAAAACGACAUAUGGACAGUACCAAAACAAAUGAUCUAAUGAUUCUGUCUCUUCGAAAAACAAAAUCUGCACAGCUGGGAUGGUUGUAUCCCCAAUAUAUAUAGCAUUCUAUUGGUUGCAAGAAUUUUGUAUAAUAAUUUAAAUAGAAAAGUCGAAGUUUUGAAUCCAGCGUAGUUUUGUGUAUCAGUUCAUAAACCAUGUGCCUACUCUUUCCAAUCCAUAUGGCACAGCUUAAAUGAAACUGGUUUACUUUUUUAUUCAUCACAAUUUUAUUUAACCAAUUUUGGUCUUUAAUGCAGGGCCGACAGACAUGUUCCUCACUUUCUCCCCCUUCCACUUGGCUCUUCCAUUUUUUGCGAUAAUGCUGUAAUUAGUUGGUUGUAAUUUUGAGCAGACAUUUCCAUAUAUGUUUGUUAACUGCAUGUGUGCCAUAAUGUCUGAGAUGUUGUUCAUGUCAGUGUAAUGUUAAAGAUCCACUUAAUUCAAUUCAAUUUAAAUUAGGACACUGUGCUCAAAGGACUUGUCUGACAGUUCUUAUACCGAAAACAGUGAGUGUUGUAAUCACAAAGAACUUGAAUGGGUUUGUUGAGUUAAAAGUAAUAAUGUUGUGAGUUAUUUUAUAAGUGUACUAUUGUUGUUUUUUAAACACCUAUUUUCUCAACCACUAAAGUACCCUGUUUAUAUCCAUUAAUGUAAACUAAAAAUCCAUUAGGUUAGGAAUAUAUCAAUUGAGUUAUGUCUCCAUUUUGGCACUGUUUUAACAUUUUUCCUGUGAUCAUUGUAAAUAAACAGUACA
Long non-coding RNA from Oncorhynchus nerka (sockeye salmon), 1567 nucleotides. RefSeq lists it as uncharacterized. The record is from RefSeq and is a predicted model, not a curated record. Lineage: Eukaryota; Metazoa; Chordata; Actinopteri; Salmoniformes; Salmonidae. The transcript has 3 exons.